CGUAACAAGGUUUCCGUAGGUGAACCUGCGGAAGGAUCAUUACCGAGUGCGGGAACCCAGUCGGGUCCCAAUCUCCCACCCGUGUCUACCACACCUAGUGUUGCUUUGGCGGGCCCACUCCUCCGGUGUUCCGCCGGGGGGGUCGUCCCGGGGCGCGGUGUGCCCCCGGGGCCCGUGCCCGCCAGAGGCACUCACUGUGAACGCUUUUGUGAAUGCGAGGAUUGUCUGAGUGACGAAAUGCAAUCGUUCAAAACUUUCAACAAUGGAUCUCUUGGUUCCGGCAUCGAUGAAGAACGCAGCGAAAUGCGAUAAGUAAUGUGAAUUGCAGAAUUCCGUGAAUCAUCGAAUCUUUGAACGCACAUUGCGCCCUCUGGUAUUCCGGGGGGCAUGCCUGUCCGAGCGUCAUUGCGAACCCUCAAGCACGGCUUGUGUGUUGGGCCGCCGUCCCCUCGUUUGGAGGGGACGGGCCUGAAAGGCAGCGGCGGCGUCGCGUCCGGUCCUCGAGCGUAUGGGGCUCUGUCACGCGCUCAAGGAGGGGUCCGGCCGGGGCCAUAGCCUCUGAAGGUCAAUUCUUCCAAGGUUGACCUCGGAUCAGGUAGGAGUACCCGCUGAACCUAAGCAUAUCA
RNAcentral lists this unclassified non-coding RNA (626 nucleotides) under Thermomyces lanuginosus. Its description in RNAcentral is "sequence contains 18S rRNA gene, ITS1, 5.8S rRNA gene, ITS2, 28S rRNA gene". The stretch from base 252 to 405 matches the Rfam family "5.8S ribosomal RNA". The record is from RNAcentral. Lineage: Eukaryota; Fungi; Ascomycota; Eurotiomycetes; Eurotiales; Trichocomaceae.